Molecule: ribosomal RNA, 460 nt
Filed under: uncultured bacterium
Lineage: Bacteria
Description: partial 16S ribosomal RNA
Rfam family: Bacterial small subunit ribosomal RNA
Source: RNAcentral
CCUACGGGUGGCAGCAGUGAGGAAUAUUGGUCAAUGGGCGCGAGCCUGAACCAGCCAAGUAGCGUGAAGGAUGACUGCCCUACGGGUUGUAAACUUCUUUUAUAAAGGCAUAAAGUGAGGCACGUGUGCCUUUUUGUAUGUACUUUAUGAAUAAGGAUCGGCUAACUCCGUGCCAGCAGCCGCGGUAAUACGGAGGAUCCGAGCGUUCUCCGGAUUUUUUGUGCUUAAAGGGAGCGUAGAUGGGUUGUUAAGUCAGUUGUGAAAGUUUGCGGCUCAACCGUAAAAUUGGAAUUGAUACUGGCAGUCUUGAGUACAGUUGAGGUAGGCGGAAUUCGUGGUGUAGCGGUGAAAUGCUUAGAGAUCACGAAGAACUCCGAUUGCGAAGGCAGCUUACUAAACUGCCACUGACAUUGAUGCUCGAAAGUGUGGGUAUCAAACAGGAUUAGAUACCCUGGUAGUC